This 632-nucleotide ribosomal RNA is filed under the name uncultured fungus. RNAcentral describes it as "eukaryotic LSU rRNA". It matches the Rfam family "Eukaryotic large subunit ribosomal RNA", at positions 23 to 641 of the family's 3401-position model. Lineage: Eukaryota; Fungi. The record is from RNAcentral.
ACCCGCUGAACUUAAGCAUAUCAAUAAGCGGAGGAAAAGAAACUAACAAGGAUUCCCCUAGUAACGGCGAGUGAAGCGGGAAGAGCUCAAAUUUGAAAUCUGGUGGCCUCAGGUCAUCCGAGUUGUAAUCUAUAGAAGUGUUUUCCGUGCUGGCUCAUGUACAAGUCCCUUGGAACAGGGCGUCAUAGAGGGUGAGAGUCCCGUCCUUGACAUGAACUACCAGUGCUCUGUGAUACAUUUUCAACGAGUCGAGUUGUUUGGGAAUGCAGCUCAAAGUGGGUGGUAAAUUCCAUCUAAAGCUAAAUAUUGGCGAGAGACCGAUAGCGAACAAGUACCGUGAGGGAAAGAUGAAAAGCACUUUGGAAAGAGAGUUAAACAGUAUGUGAAAUUGUUGAAAGGGAAACGAUUGAAGUCAGUCGUGCUCUUUGGAUUCAGCCGGUUCUGCCGGUGUACUUCCUUUGAGUGGGGUCAACAUCAGUUUUGAUCGCUGGAUAAAGGCAGGAGGAACGUAGUACCCUCGGGUAAACUUAUAGCCUCUUGUCACAUACAGUGGUUGGGACUGAGGAACGCAGCACGCCUUUAUGGCCGGGAUUCGUCCACGUACGUGCUUAGGAUGUUGACAUAAUGGCUUU